UUCUGUUAAGAUAUUGCUGGAUUCACCAAUGUCCAAGCUUUUUCCAGCUUUAUUCCUUAAAACAUUUCCCACCACACUGCACAAUCAAUAAAAAUAAAUAUUCAUUGACGCAUACAAAAAAAUGCAUACACAAAUCAAAUGUGAACUAAUAAAAAACAUUCCCACCGGUCCUUAUCUCCCUUGGCUCUCCACGUUCUUUGACUUUCGAAGCUUUACGACGUGUGUAGACUGCCCCUUCAUAAUCUCCUAAACAGCCAAAAUCCAUUGGAAAAAAAAUCAAAUAACCUAAACCAGAAAAAACUAAAAACACAAAUAGGGACCACAAAAAAAAUAUAAAUCGAAAAAUUAUGCAUUUCUUCUACUAGAUCUAGCCAUCUCAAACCCCAAAAAAUAUUAAAUUUUACAACACGUGCUAUCGGAUCUAUGCACCCAAAAAAACACAAAUAGGGACCACACAUUACUUUAAAACCCCAC
This 474-nucleotide long non-coding RNA is filed under the name Salvia miltiorrhiza (redroot sage). RNAcentral's name for it is "long non-coding RNA (SMIL_LNC013216)". Lineage: Eukaryota; Viridiplantae; Streptophyta; Magnoliopsida; Lamiales; Lamiaceae. The record is from RNAcentral.